UAUGAGGCGGGCUGGACCUCUCGGGGUUACAGCCUUGCUGAAUUAUUCACCCUUGUCUUUUGCGUACUUCUUGUUUCCUUGGUGGGUUCGCCCACCACUAGGACAAACAUAAACCUUUUGUAAUUGCAAUCAGCGUCAGUAACAAAUUAAUAAUUACAACUUUCAACAACGGAUCUCUUGGUUCUGGCAUCGAUGAAGAACGCAGCGAAAUGCGAUAAGUAGUGUGAAUUGCAGAAUUCAGUGAAUCAUCGAAUCUUUGAACGCACAUUGCGCCCUUUGGUAUUCCAAAGGGCAUGCCUGUUCGAGCGUCAUUUGUACCCUCAAGCUUUGCUUGGUGUUGGGCGUCUUGUCUCUAGCUUUGCUGGAGACUCGCCUUAAAGUAAUUGGCAGCCGGCCUACUGGUUUCGGAGCGCAGCACAAGUCGCACUCUCUAUCAGCAAAGGUCUAGCAUCCAUUAAGCCUUUUUUUCAACUUUUGACCUCGGAUCAGGUAGGGAUACCCGCUGAACUUAAGCAUAUCAAAA
This 523-nucleotide ribosomal RNA is filed under the name Alternaria sp. F3(2016). Its description in RNAcentral is "eukaryotic LSU rRNA". The stretch from base 158 to 311 matches the Rfam family "5.8S ribosomal RNA". Lineage: Eukaryota; Fungi; Ascomycota; Dothideomycetes; Pleosporales; Pleosporaceae. The record is from RNAcentral.